This 3804-nucleotide long non-coding RNA is filed under the name Fragaria vesca (wild strawberry). RNAcentral describes it as "long non-coding RNA (FVES_LNC005572)". The record is from RNAcentral. Lineage: Eukaryota; Viridiplantae; Streptophyta; Magnoliopsida; Rosales; Rosaceae.
AACCCAUGUGAGAUUUACUCACAAUAUUAAAAAUAGCAUCAUAAUCAUCAAUCAAACCUAUUACCAUCGUCAUCAUAAUAAUUAUCAUCAUGAUCAUCAUAUCAUCAACAUUUCCAUCAACAUUUUCAUCAUCAUCAUACAAUUAUCAUCAUCAUCAUCAUAUCAAAAUCAACAUCACAAUCAUCAUCAUAAUCAUCUUCAAAAUCAACAUCAUAAUAAUUAUAAAUGAUGGGUCCGAAAGUGGACCUUAGUGAGAUGUUACUCACCUCAAAUCCAACUGCAUCUUCGCACGCACAACACAAGCAUAUAACACAAAACCACACCACAAGUCACCUAUUAACAAAAACGUUAACCUUAGUAACUUAUGAAAAUAACAUUAUCCGACUCGAACCGAAACUCAAGUCCUAACCCACGAGCUUAUCACUCGAGACAAAUCCUCCUCCUUGACCUCUAAAAGGUCGUUGAAACGUCAUACACAUCCUAUAGAACUACUAACCAAAUUCUCAUGUUCGGAUUACUCAAAAAAUGAAACGAACGAAACUUAACACCACGGGGAAACCCUAGCAUGCAAUAAAGAUAACCAAAACCUACAACCCACAAAUCAUCACGCUCGUAUCGAAGAGUAUUAUCUAACCAGCACCACAAAACACCCCAGACACUACCGGACGCGCCGCCACGCGCCACCACAGGCGGCGGCGAGUGGGCCCCACGCGCCACGACGAAACGUCCGAAUUUGGGCAAACUCAAAACAUCAAAUUUGUAGAUUGAGAAGAGAGGAGCAUCUUUUAUACCUGAGGGUUCAACUAGUUCGGCCGGAAAUCACCGGAAAUGCGUCUGAAAGUUUGGAAUCCACCACCGCCACUCUCCGCGGUGAGUCGCGCUCCAAGGCCACCAGAAGUCGGACCAGGACGCCAAGGAGCUUCUAUCCCGACCGAUCUCUCGCCUUGUCGCCGUCGUCGGAGGUUUGAAACCUGACCGGGUCUCUAACCCGAAAUUCCGAGCUUCGGGUCACCACUUCGGGACCGAAUCGGCGCAAGUCACCACCGCAGGGUAGCUCAGACGGAGGAGAGGAAGAGAACCCGACCGGUGCCAGCGUCUAGGUCAGUCGGAGUGGCCGGAAAAGCCGGGUCGGGUCAUCGGGUCUGGGUCGGGUUGGCUGGAGGACUUUGAAUUCUCUCGGGGUCGGACAGAGAGAAGGAGAGGGAGGAAAAUCUGGUUUCUGAAAAACUGAGGGCCCAAACUGGAAAUUUCCUAUUUAACCUAAAUAUUCCCGAAAAGCCACAACUUUCGCUGACCAUAACUUCCACAUACGAAGUCCGUUUUAUGCGUGUCACGUGUCUACGAACUCGUAUCGUCGUACUCUACAACUUUCGUGAAGGAAGUUUCCCAAGAAACCCAACCGAUUAAAAAGUCAACGCUUAACCCUUCAAAAUAGAGCAUUUUCACGGAACAAAAAAAACUCAACUACUUCCAGUCCACUCACUAAAUCACAAAUCCAUACAACUCUUACUUAAAUAAUUUCCAAAAUAAAAUUAGAAACUAAUAUUAAAAUUCCGGGGUAUUACAGUGAUAGUUACAGAAGUUGCAGUGGGUGUUGAGAGGAACGAUUUGGUGUAUAGUUUGUAGCUAGAAUCGGUGGUCGGCCUUGGAGGCUGACCGCCACUGCCGGCGGCGCGUGAUGCACGUGCGACCUCUUCAGGUGAGUCGAAUUAGCUUGUUAGGUAGGGUUCGUAACAACAAACCCAUCGGUGUAUGAUCUACCAAUUUUGGUGAUCGUAUGACUUAGUCGAAAGUUUCCAAAAUGUGAACAUUGGUUUGUUUAGAUGGUGAACGAGCCGUAUAUCUUGUUUUGGUAGAGAUAGGAGAGCAUUGGGGGUUGUUGGGAAUUUUCGGAAAAUUUUAUAGUUGUGAUGAUCAUUUUGGGUAGAUUCUAUUCAACGUGGAAUCGAUAGUUUUGGAUUUUUAGCUUAGGUUAUAAGAAAUGCCUUAGAUAAAUUUAGUUUUGGUUAGACUCUAUAGUAUGGUAUGAUUAAUGGUGGAGAUAUCUUGUUGGGUGAGUGGACACUUUGUUUUGUUAAAAGAAUAUGCAUGCAUGAUCUCUUUUGGAAAUUAUCGUUCUAAUUUCCGAGCUUAUAUUAUAAUUUCAGUUUAUAAUAUGGUUUUGAGAUUUAUUUGAGUUUGAGGGAUUGAUUAAGUGAUGAUCAUGAUUUAAGGAUUUAAGCUUGGGUUGUUAAUUUGGUAUUUGAGUGUUGAUAUUAUUUAUGAUUUCUGGAUUUAAUUAUUAUCGUUUCUAUUUGUGGAAUUUGAGAUAUGUAAAAGAUUACCGAAAAUGGGAUUUUCGGUAAUUCUCUAUUUAUAAUUUUCUCAUUUAUUUAUGGGAUAUCGAUCUUGACCUUCAGAAUAUUUUAGCGAGUAUUUUGGAUUAAGAAAUUAUUUACAAUUUAUACUGGAUAAUUAUAUCUCGCUUAUAAUUAUGGACUUGAGAAUAUUUUUGACGUAUGAGACACGUCAUUGAGUUUUUUUUUUUAAUUUUUUUAUGAUAAUUUUCAAGUACGGUUAGGAACCGUACCAUUCGCAUGAUCUUGAGGAAUCUUUAUGGAUUUAAGUGAUUUCGUAUGUUGUUAGUCACCAUACUAGGGUCGCUAUUAUUCAUUACUAGCUAACCUUAUUAGCAGUCCUCACCAUAGGUGAGUCGAGCGCUUAGCGUGGGACGCUACUAUAGCCUUGGGAGGCACCGAUCAAAUAUUAUUAUUUAUUGCUAGCUAGCCUUAUUAGCGGUCCUCACCAUAGGUGAGUCGAGCGCUUAGCGUGAGACGCUACUAUAGCUUGGGAGGCCCUGAUCGGUUUUUAUUCAUUGCUAGCUAGCCAUUAUUAGUGGUCCUCACCAUAGGUGAGUUGAGCGCUUAGUGUGGGACGUUACUAGAGCCUGGGAGGCUCAUCUUUAUGGUGAAACAUUUUCCCUUUUUCAUGAUUGCUACAAACCAAUGGGAUUAGUUCAUCACUUCUAUUUUUAGAAGCAUUAUUGGUUGAGCUUGAUUGUUGAAUUGUGAUUUGAGAUAUAUAUUGAUCGAGCAUACUAAUUAUGAAAUGUGGAAUUGUUGAGUAAUUUGGUUCAGUAGAGUUGUUGAUGUAAAUAUAAUAACUUGACCCCUGUCGUUGAUAUAGUGGGUUGGUGGGUGGUUGUGGAUAUGAAGAGCUAACAGCCCCAGGGGUUGAGUUGAUAUGUUUAACCUAUUAUGUACACGGUAGAUUUUAUAAGUUAUAAAUUAUGGCUACAGGUGUUGAGGAUGUAGAUCGUUGAUAUACUAGUGUUUUUAUGAGUUUCUUUGCAGGUCAAGUUCUACUGAAUUUUCGGUAGAAUUUCCUUUUAGAGGUGGUCCCCGCAAGACCUUCUCGGGUUUCGGGAUGAAAUUCAGGACGAGUCUUGUCACUUUAAAGGUAGACAUUUCUAAUGAACAUAGUAGAUGUGUCUUAUGUUAAAUGUCGACUUUGCAACUUUUAUCUUCGGUUGAUUUAAUCUCAAGAACAAUUUUGAUUUCCAUAAAGUCUACUUUUGUUUUAUUUGGCUUAUCUUAAUGGUAGACAUUUCUAAUGAAAAUAGUAAUUGUGUCUUAUGUUAAAUGUAGACUUUGCAACUUUUACCUUCGGUUGAUUCAAUCUCAAGAACAAUUUUGAUUUCCAAGAAGUCUACUUUUCUGUGAUUUACCUCAGGUAAAUGAGAGACAUUUCUCAUAAAAACAGUAGUCCUAUCUCAUGUUAGUAGUAGACUUGAUAAUCUAAAUGGUAGACAAUUCUUAUCAAAAC